This 510-nucleotide long non-coding RNA is filed under the name Chlamydomonas reinhardtii. RNAcentral describes it as "long non-coding RNA (CREI_LNC000454)". Lineage: Eukaryota; Viridiplantae; Chlorophyta; Chlorophyceae; Chlamydomonadales; Chlamydomonadaceae. The record is from RNAcentral.
CCUUCUCGGGGUAGACGCCGUCAGCAGGGUGCAGGUACUGCACCUUGCCGUCGGGGAAGACGCGGUAGAAGCAGGGGGUCAGCUUGAACUUGUUGCGGAGCUGGGUCGUCAGGGCGAGGCACUGCUCCUUCUUGCCGAACUUCAGCAGGUUGGGGCCCUGGCGCAUGAUAGCGGCACCGCCAGUGGGCAUCUCGAAGAUCUGCUCCUUCUUAGCCUCCCAGGUGAUGACGUAGAACUCCUCAGUCUGAGCCUUGCGCAGCAGACCGCCGGUGCUGCCACCGAAAAUCGGGCUGGGAGUGUCGGGGUUCAGGGUCGGCACAGUCCAGGCGGGCUUCUCAGCAGCCUUCUUGGCAGCAGCAGGGGCAGCCUCAGCCUCGGCGCGGACCACCACGGCGCGGCGAGCAGCCGGGCGAGCGGCAACAGCGACGCGCGAUGAAGCGCGAGUGGCAGCGGGCGCCUGGGUGCGCAUCAUGACGGCCAUUUUGGCUUGUUGUGAGUAGCAGUGGGGUC